GGGUCCGGACACACUGAGGAUUGACAGAUAUACGUCGUGUGUUGAGCCCUCUCGGGGGCCGAGCGCAUGACUGAAAGAUGCUAGUUCUUUCAUGAUUAUGUGAUAGGUGGUGCAUGGCCGUUCUUAGUUCGUGGAGUGGUCUGUCUGCUUAAUUGCGUAUCAUAAAAAGAGACCUAGUAUACGCGUAAGAUAUCGUUUACGGUUCGUGACCCCCUUCGGGCGUGUGUCGCACGUACGUAUCAUACGCACUGGUCUCCGAUAGCAACGAACGUGACCGUACUCUAUUGUUGCAGCGAAUGUAUGCAUCUUCGGGUGUAUCUACCGCUGCUUAGUGCGUAUGCGUACUUCGGUGCGUGUCGUACAUUAAACUAUAGAGACCGCUGUAUUUUUUUUAAACCAGAGGAAGGAUACGGCAAUAACAGGUCUGUGAUGCCCUCAGAUGUUCCGGGCUGCACACGUGCUACAAUGAUCAUUGCACUGUGCAUCUAACCCAAUGUGCGUGGACGCCACGGUAUGUAUUUAUGCUUCGGCGUAGUAUAUAUCAGUUGGUCGGUCGCGCCGAACCUACUUCGAAAGUAAAAUUUCUCAGUGGGU
RNAcentral lists this ribosomal RNA (594 nucleotides) under Ammonia sp. genotype T1. RNAcentral describes it as "bacterial SSU rRNA". The stretch from base 1 to 464 matches the Rfam family "Eukaryotic small subunit ribosomal RNA", at positions 1220 to 1501 of the family's 1831-position model. The record is from RNAcentral. Lineage: Eukaryota; Foraminifera; Rotaliida; Rotaliidae.